RNAcentral lists this ribosomal RNA (536 nucleotides) under Rhodococcus sp. PA9. Its description in RNAcentral is "bacterial SSU rRNA". It matches the Rfam family "Bacterial small subunit ribosomal RNA", at positions 92 to 643 of the family's 1533-position model. Lineage: Bacteria; Bacillati; Actinomycetota; Actinomycetes; Mycobacteriales; Nocardiaceae. The record is from RNAcentral.
CGAGCGGCGACGGGUGAGUAACACGUGGGUGAUCUGCCCUGCACUUCGGGAUAAGCCUGGGAAACUGGGUCUAAUACCGGAUAUGACCUCCUAUCGCAUGGUGGGUGGUGGAAAGAUUUAUCGGUGCAGGAUGGGCCCGCGGCCUAUCAGCUUGUUGGUGGGGUAAUGGCCUACCAAGGCGACGACGGGUAGCCGACCUGAGAGGGUGACCGGCCACACUGGGACUGAGACACGGCCCAGACUCCUACGGGAGGCAGCAGUGGGGAAUAUUGCACAAUGGGCGAAAGCCUGAUGCAGCGACGCCGCGUGAGGGAUGACGGCCUUCGGGUUGUAAACCUCUUUCAGCAGGGACGAAGCGCAAGUGACGGUACCUGCAGAAGAAGCACCGGCUAACUACGUGCCAGCAGCCGCGGUAAUACGUAGGGUGCAAGCGUUGUCCGGAAUUACUGGGCGUAAAGAGUUCGUAGGCGGUUUGUCGCGUCGUUUGUGAAAACCAGCAGCUCAACUGCUGGCUUGCAGGCGAUACGGGCAGACUU